This 6303-nucleotide long non-coding RNA is filed under the name Zea mays. RNAcentral's name for it is "long non-coding RNA (ZMAY_LNC001332)". Lineage: Eukaryota; Viridiplantae; Streptophyta; Magnoliopsida; Poales; Poaceae. The record is from RNAcentral.
AGUUCCAUAAUAAUAAUAAUAAUGGCAAUGUACGUAGGUGUGUUCCUUUGACAUCUUACGUUUCCUUUUUUCCUAAACCUUUUGCUCCAUAUAAUUUUGUUCAGAAUUUUGCACCACACAGGUAGAUUUUAUUCAGAAUUUUGCACCACACAGGUAGAUGGAUGAUGCAUAUAUAUGCAUCAACAUAACAUACGAUAUUAUAUUUCUAAUGGGAGCAGCAGCACACUUUGUGCUCGACGCUUUCGUCACACCAGCCACCGUCCUUGAAACCCUUCGAGCUACAGAUCAAGCGGCAGUUCUGGUGGUCCUCGGAAUAGGACGAGAGGUAUGGCCUUCUCGGCGGCGGCGGUGACUUCUUGGGUUUCCCGAUGCCUGCACACACAUCGCAGUCCAAACGAGACCGGCCGGUUAAUUAAUAGAUAAUUAUCGCCAGCUCUUAGAAGGAAAUAGUAACUCUUGCGCAAGUAAUUAGAAGUAGAGAUCGAAGGUGCCUACAGCCGCCGGCUUCGUAGCAUGGAGACAGCGAGGACAGAAUGGCAACAGCCAACAGAAGCGCGACGAUUGUGCUGCUCUUCAUCACCGCCGUAAGGAAAGAUGAUCAAGCUUCCCUUAUUACCACGAGCUAGUGACGAAGAGAGAUUAUAUGAUUUGUUUGUUCUAAUCUCCAUCUUCGAUCUCACUUGUACUUAUAUAGAAGACGAAUCCAUCUCUAGCACAUCUCAUUUGUGCCAGAAGAUCUAGUUAUAGAUAUAGAUAGAGAUAGAGAUAUAGAAAUUUUACAUAUAGAUAUAGUUAUGGAUAUAGAUAUUGGGAUAUGUUGUUGUUGAUAUAAUAUGAUGAUAUUGGUUUAGUCAUACAAAGACAACCAACAUAUUUGCAAUGGUUGUUCUUCCACUACUAAUUAUUUUGCAAUCUAAUAAGAAGAUAUUAGACAUUAAUCCAUAAAUGCUUAGACGAAACAUACCUAAGCUUGGAGGUGCGUCUACAUAGCAUAGACACUACCAGAGUCACAUGCUUUGCCGAGUGCCCCAUGCACUCGGCAAAGCCAGAAAUACACACAGUAAACCUUUUGCAGAGUGUCACACCCGGCAAAGAGUAAACGGCAAAAAAAUCAUUGGCAAAGGCGGUUCAACCCUAUUUAGUCGUUGUCACAAUCGCUGCUGUUGUUUCCAGCCGCCACCAUUGUUUCCAGGCCGUGUCCAACGGUUCACCCCGUUGUCUCUCUUUCCUGUAUACUCGGUGUAUGGACGUCUGGAAUGUGGUCCAACGAUGUGUGAUGACACCGAAGGAAAUCAACAGAAGGCGGGAAGGAACCAUGGCUACUAGGAGGGUUCGAUGUCAAGUGAAGCCCAACUCUCGCGUCCAUGGGCCAGAUUGGACCCAAUGAGUGUUUUAGUGUUUUCUUUUUGUUUUGGCAUGUGGUAUAAAGAAAAGGACUUUAUGAAUCGCCAAGGGCGGCUUGGGGCAUAAGUUGAGGCCGACUGCGUUCGGAAAGGGAGGGCUCUUCCUCUGUAACCUGAAUCAUGAAUUCCAGUGAUAAUUUGAUACUUCGUGAGGUGGAGGGUACCAGGAGCGGUGCUCGUGAUCCAAAUCAUGUCUUUGUGUUCAUCGGCUCUGUUACCUGUUCCAUGGUUCUAUUACAAUUGGUAUCAGAUUCCUGGUUCCUGAUCCUGGUGAAACCUCUAGAAUAUAUUCUUCGCCCUUAUUACAAUACAAGAAACCAGAAGUAGUUAGAAGCGAUGGAGAAAAUAUCAUUGAUCUAUCGGUGCUCUUGCUGAACAUGCAACUCUAGAGUGAAUCAAGCAAGCAAAAUAAUAUGUCAAAAGAAACAUGAUUACAUGACUGCCUAUCUGUCCAAGAAAAAUAAUUGAGAUUGUUUAAGAAAAAUAAAAUGCAUAAUUGUCUAACUGUCCAAAAUGCACAACUUGUAAACUCUUAAGAUAAAAUAUUUUUGUCAUUGUAUUGGCAUUAGUAAUGUCUAAGAAAUGUGAGUGAGUUAGUAAGUUAUAAAAAUGCCACCAAUAAUAUUAUCUAAGUAAUGUGAGGCUGCCGGUAAGACCUACUCUUACUAAAGUCGCCAGAACCCACAUGUACCUAACACUACCGUAAAGGAUGCAUCUCAUAUUCUAGUAGGUGCAGAACAUACACUAUCAGCACCAAGUCAAUGAUUUUGACACAUCAAAGUGUUACCGACCAAAACACACCUAAAUAAAAUUCAUCAUGCUUGCACAGACACUUCAGUUACGACUACACCAUAGAAAAUUCAAUUUUCAAGAUUGGAUAGAACCUAUCAGGCAAGAAGGGAUACACUACUGCAAAUUCAGAGAUGCAUAUUGCUCUAUUCAGGGAAUAAGAAAUACACUAAUUGGAUCUCAGAGAAGCAUUUGACAGCUCCAUUUUGAGAAGUGCAAGAUCUGUACCAUUUGUCGGGAGGUGAAAGGAUGAAUGGUCCUUACCGAAGGACGCUGCAAGCCAACGUUGUUAUCCCGACGUGCUUGGCUCGAUAGGUUCAGAUCGUCGCACCUGACUGGUUCAUAUCCCGAAUGUAUCAUCUCACACUCCAACCAAAACACACCCAAAUAAAAUUCAUCAUGCUUGCACAGACACUUCAGUUACGACUGCACCAUAGAAAAUUCAAUUUUCAAGAUUGGAUAGAACCUAUCAGGCAAGAAGGGAUACACUACUGCAAAUUCAGAGAUGCAUAUUGCUCUAUUCAGGGAAUAAGAACUACACUAAUUGGAUCUCAGAGAAGCAUUUGACAGCUCGAUUUUGAGAAGUGCAAGAUCUGUACCAUUUGCCGGGAGGUCAAAGGAUGAAUGGUCCUCGCCGAAGGACACUGCAAGCCGACAUUGUUAUCCCGACGUGCUUGGCUCGAUAGGUUCAGAUCGUCGUGCCCGACUGGUUCAUAUCCCGAAUGUAUCAUCUCACACUCCAACGCCUCGGCUGGCUCCUCCAACGACGAUGGUGUCUCUCCCGCUCUUGCCCUCCUUUCCUCGAACAAAACUGCGUGCGCGGCUGGAAAAAAGACGUCGGAAGCUACUGGAUUGCACGCGCUCGGGAAGAAUUGGGGAGAGUUUGGCUCACGCAUAUAUGUGGGAUGCAUCAUCGUCUUUACAGGAAGCUGAAAAAUGGGGAAAUGAUUAGCAGACCAUUGGAGGCGAGAAAAGUGAAGUUUUGACGCGAAAAACUCUACUGGGGUUGGUAUACGACUUCUCUUGGAGUUGCUCUUAGGUUACCUAAUAUGCGGCUUGCAUUAUGAACUGAACAAAUUAAGGAUCAACUAGAUAUUUUACCCUCGUCAUGAACUAUAACUAAUAAAAAGGAGGCUUACCUUCAUUGAGGAUGGCAAUGAUCUGGACCAUAAAUGGUGGGAAGUCAGACUUCCAUAUCAGUGCAAGAAGCAUAAAACCAAGCUGUUACAACAAAGUAUGUAUGGGUAAGAUAUAUUAUCUCCGUUCUCGAAUACUUAUCGUCCGACCAGUUCAUUUUUGAACUAAAACGCGACAAAUAUAUAAAAAUGAAGUGGGUAUUAUUUAUCUAUUCAGUCAAGCGAGCGUUAUUUUCUAAAAAGUAAGCAGAAGUCCAUACAUACCACAAUACAGAUGGUAAUUGAUACAACAUAGAUCUGCAAACAAAAAUGAAUUUUGAAAAUAUUGGACAUAGAAAUGGAAUGCUAGGAGACUCAGGGGGCGAAGCCAGGAUUUGAGAGUGAGGGGACAAAUCAGAUUGUGAGGGCUGUUAGAAGGUAUUUUACAUUAUUUAUAUGGCGAUUAGCUAAAAAUUUUAGUAGCUCGUACAAAUUUGGGGAGGGUUUACUAUCUCCAUCAGACUCCCUAUCACACGUUAUCUCACUCCUUAUUUCAAACUUCACUCAUGCGAAAACAUUAUUUUAAAUAGCCGUUUACCCGGUCUGCUCGAGAUGGCCUUACGGGGACAUUGCUCUCCUCUGCCCCUACUAGAAUCGCAUUGUAGACUGAAAAGCAACCGUAGCAUUGACUUACUUUGUAAUUCUUCAUCUUUUGGAAAAUUGCUCGACUCGUCAACACAACUCUAUUAAUUACACUAAGGCAUGGUUAGGAUAAUGUCAGAAGCACCAUGGGUUGCGUAAGUAGAGUCUGCUAUUGCAAUACCAAUAUCAGCCUUCUUCAAAUUUUGGGCAUCAUUUACACCACCCAAGUCAUGCCACAUAUAUGUUUUCUUUCUUGCAAGCAUUUCACGAUCUCAUACCUGUGUUCUAUCAAGCAUUAACAAAAAAAUGAAUUAGACAUAAAUACUGCCUAUAGAUGUUGAAGAAUUGUAGAGCUUAUCAAACAUGAGUAAUAAAAACAGGCAAUCUGCAUAGUUGUACCUAGAAAGACUCCAGAUAAGCCAUCAGCCUUCUCGGUCAAUUCAUCAAUUGGCAAGGAAGCAAGUGACUCAUCCUUAUUCUGUUCAGAGUAAGGAAGAGGAAGGGUACAUUUAGUACUCAUUCCCAAACGACGUGUUGUUUCCUUCCCAAUACCAAGUUGAUCACCUGAGGCGGGAAAAAGGUCGGUUAUUACAGCACAACAGUUCAGUUGCAGUAGCCAUAUCUACAAACAUAUUACUAUCGACAAGCUAGCAGGAAUGGGAUGAAACUCCAGAUUUAGAGCAAUCAACUCAAGGUACAUAGGAAUAAAUAUGGCAAACCUGUAAUCAUCUUGUCAUUGACAUCAAGAUUAAGUGGCCCUGCACUAUCAUGGCGUGGGGGCACAAAGUGGCAGGAGGCUAAUGAACUAUCAUGGUCCUUCGUGACUCUCUUUUGUACCAUCUGGCACUUCCUGUACAUGAAUUUUGUCAGUCAAGUACAACACACAUCUAGUCAAAGAUCUUACCAAUAUUGCACGUUAAAGGAUCCCAAACCUGGUAAGCCACACCAAGUGCUCGCAGACCAUGCUCAGAGGUGAAAACCGUAGUAUACAAAGAAGCAGGAGAGUGUGACGCCUAGCACGACACAGUCGAUGAUGUACAUGACGCGGAAUGUGACAGCAUUCGCCGCCGCCGCCAUGGAGCCGCUGCGCUUGGGGUGGGAGCUUCGAGAGGAGCAUCGUCCUGAGGGAGCGAGAGAGCGACAAGGAAAAUUGGACGCACCGGCGGUGGACGGGACGGUCAGCCUCCAGCGCCGGUUGCUUUGUCAGCCAUCCGCGAGGGCGCGCCAGAAUGGGAAGGAGAAGCCCAUGACCAAGUAGGCCGCGGUUGUGCACACGGGUUGCAGACAGGAAGACGGGGACAAAGUAGCCCCGAGCGAGCGUGGAGAAGCUGCGACCAGGUUGAGCGCUUGGCCGGGGAGAUGGAGGGAGAAGGGGGUGCGAACAGGAAGAGGUGCUAUGGCGUCGGAUGAGGCGAGGAGGCGGCGGCGGGAUGCUCCAUAGCUGGCUAGGGUUUGGCACGGGGGAUAGGAUGGAUGGAUCACUGCUCCAUUUGGGCGGUGGCGGGUGGGGGGAGGCCGGGAGGGACGUCCCUGUGGCUGGCCAACGCGAGACAUGUCCUUUUUUUCCUCACCUAUGUGUCAUCCUCCAGAUUCUAGAAGGUCCGCGUCGUUCGCAAGCCACUCCAGAUUCUAGAAGGCUCAGCGUCGUUCGCAAGCUGUGGCUGGAGGCUGACUCUAGCCGUAGAUUCACAAUCGGGUGGAGCACAAAAAAAUGGACGACGUGGAUAGCGUCGUAGCUUCCGUUUUGAACCGGCUUUAAAGAAAUAGAAACUUUGUGCUCAAUCAGGUUUUAUUCAGGUUUUAUUCAGAAUUUUGCACCACACAGGUAGAUGGAUGAUGCAUAUAUAUAUGCAUCAACAUAACAUACGCUAUUAUAUUUCUAAUGGGAGCAGCAGCACACUUUGUGCUCCACGCUUUCGUCACACCAGCCACCGUCCUUGAAACCCUUCGAGCUACAGAUCAAGCGGCAGUUCUGGUGGUCCUCGGAAUAGGACGAGAAGUAUGGCCUUCUCGGUGGCGGCGGUGACUUCUUGGGUUUCCCGAUGCCUGCACACACAUCGCAGUCCAAACGAGAUCGGCCGGUUAAUUAAUAGAUAAUUAUCGCCGGCUCUUAGAACGAAAUAGUAACUAUUGCGUAAGUAUUUAGAAGUAGAGAUCGAAGGUGCCUACAGCCGCCGGCUUCGUAGCAUGGAGACAGUGAGGACAGAAUGGCAACAGCCAACAGAAGCGCGACGAUUGUGCUGCUCUUCAUCACCGCCAUAAGGAAAGAUGAUCAAGCUUCCCUUAUUACCACGAGCUAGUGACGAAGAGAGAUUAUAUGAUUUGUUUGUUCUAAUCUCCGUCUUCGAUCUCAC